GCCCUUGUAGCUCAGUCGGUAGAGCGCGUCCUUGGUAAGGACGAGGUCGGCGGUUCAAAUCCGCUCGAGGGCUCCA
Molecule: transfer RNA, 76 nt
Filed under: Opitutaceae bacterium
Lineage: Bacteria; Pseudomonadati; Verrucomicrobiota; Opitutia; Opitutales; Opitutaceae
Also listed under: 7 other names
Description: tRNA-Thr
Rfam family: tRNA
About the family: Transfer RNA (tRNA) molecules are approximately 80 nucleotides in length. Their secondary structure includes four short double-helical elements and three loops (D, anti-codon, and T loops).
Source: RNAcentral